Patella vulgata (common limpet) is the source of this 789-nucleotide long non-coding RNA. RefSeq lists it as uncharacterized. The transcript has 3 exons. Lineage: Eukaryota; Metazoa; Mollusca; Gastropoda; Patellidae. The record is from RefSeq and is a predicted model, not a curated record.
GUGCAAGAUGUAAUGAAUCGUCGUGUUCCAUCUGUAAAUCUGAUUGGUAUGGUACAAACUGCGGUUCACCAUGUUCCAUUAAUUGUAAUGGAGGAUGUGAUAUUGUUGAUGGCAGAUGUAAUAGAUGUAAAUCUCACGCUGUUGGGUUGUUCUGUAAUAUAGAAUGUGGAACUGAAUGCCAAUUAGCUACAGGUGGAUUAACAGAAUGUGAACAAGACGAAGCUUGUACCAAAAACUGUAGUGAAUCAACUGUAGAUGAGUCAUCGAACAUGGUGAAGUUAAGUUGCUUAUAUCGAUGUAUUGGGGGUAAGAAAGAAGCAGUUUGUUCAAAGGAAUAUGAGGCGCCAAUUGAUGGUACCGACAACACAGUUAUAAUAUCUGUUGUGAUGGUAAUAUUGGUUUUAGUCAUAGCUGCUAUUUCUACUUUUUUGGUAUUCAGAUACAGAAGCAGGAGACGCAAUGCUAAUGCUCAACAAAACUCCAAAGUUUCUUAUGUUACACCAACGAAUAUUGAUGAUAUACCAGCCUCUGCUGACACAACACAGAUUUCCAUAGGUUUUAGAUUAUAUAUUUAAAUUUUUGUUUUCAAUAAUUACAAAAUGUGAACAUUAUUUCGGCCAGAAACUCUUUCCAAUAAGAUUUCCGGUAUCGCUUUGGUUAGGCUUAAGAAUCUGUCCACCAGCAUGAUAGACGUGAUCAUCCAGGUUAAAGAUCCAGUAAUGCUUAGUUCUAGACAAAAUUGGCGGAGAGGUUUUGUAAUCACUCUUAUUAAAUUACAAACCAAUAGUA